RNAcentral lists this ribosomal RNA (515 nucleotides) under gamma proteobacterium MSSRF31. Its description in RNAcentral is "bacterial SSU rRNA". It matches the Rfam family "Bacterial small subunit ribosomal RNA", at positions 152 to 660 of the family's 1533-position model. The record is from RNAcentral. Lineage: Bacteria; Pseudomonadati; Pseudomonadota; Gammaproteobacteria.
CAAAAGAGUGGCUAAUACCGGAUGUGGACUACGGUUUAAAGCAGGGGAUCUUCGGACCUUGCGCUAUAAGAUGAGCCUAUGCAAGAUUAGCUAGUUGGUGAGGUAAAGGCUCACCAAGGCGACGAUCUUUAGCUGGUCUGAGAGGAUGAUCAGCCACACUGGGACUGAGACACGGCCCAGACUCCUACGGGAGGCAGCAGUGGGGAAUAUUGGACAAUGGGCGGAAGCCUGAUCCAGCAAUACCGCGUGUGUGAAGAAGGCCUUCGGGUUGUAAAGCACUUUUGUCAGGGGAGAAUGGUAGUAGAGGUUAAUACCCUUUGCUAUUGAUGUUACCUGAAGAAUAAGCACCGGCUAACUCCGUGCCAGCAGCCGCGGUAAUACGGGGGGUGCAAGCGUUAAUCGGAAUUACUGGGGCGUAAGGGCGCGUAGGUGGUUACUUAAGUCAGAUGUGAAAGCCCCGGGCUCAACCUGGGAAUUGCGUUUGAUACUGGGUAACUAGAGUGUGGGUAGAGAGU